Molecule: long non-coding RNA, 407 nt
Filed under: Vulpes vulpes (red fox)
Lineage: Eukaryota; Metazoa; Chordata; Mammalia; Carnivora; Canidae
Description: lncRNA (ENSVVUG00000028169.1)
Source: RNAcentral
GAGGUGCCCCAUUUGUUUUUCACCUUCCUCCUUUCUACUUCCUGUAACUCAGAUGUGAUGACUGACAUUCCAGCAGCCAACUCUCUUACUCACCUUGAGGAUGAAAGUUAACUACAAAGCAUGAGAAAGCAAAAAGAGGGGAGUUUCUUGGACCUUUAAUGAUUUUGUGUGACUGUCAAAGGAGCCAAGUACUACCUUUAUGUGUUUUAUGUGAGAAGAUCCAUCAGGACUUGAGUCUAAUUCCAACAAUAUAUGGCCAAGGAAAAUAUAGGUGUCUAUUUCUUUCUGCCGAAGGAUUGCUACAAUUAAAUAAGAUCAUAUACUGUCAUGAUGCAGAUGUGACCAUGACUCAGAACCACAAUGAGAUGCUGAAUUUUAUAGCAAUAGUAUUUGGUUUCACAAUGUGA